Molecule: long non-coding RNA, 1461 nt
Filed under: Ananas comosus (pineapple)
Lineage: Eukaryota; Viridiplantae; Streptophyta; Magnoliopsida; Poales; Bromeliaceae
Description: long non-coding RNA (ACOM_LNC040300)
Source: RNAcentral
AAAGUAAAGAACAAAUUAUUUUUUUAUCUCAAAUAAAGGUCAGUAUAAAAAUAACUACUAAUUCACAAAUAUAUAGAAAAUUUUGAUGUAAAAAAUAUAUAAUUAUAAAUAUAAGAUUAUGAAAAAGUAACAAGCAUGAUGCAUAAAAGUUUAAAAUUUCAAAAGCAACAGAGAGUGCCGAAAGCGACGGACAAGUGGGGGAGAGGGAACAGAAGAUAAGGGACCAGCGGGAGAAAGGGACGAGGGUACGGAGAGAUAUUGAGGAUUAUUUAGAGCUUAGGUUAUAUUAGUUUAGGGUUUUUGGUUUAAUUAAAUGUUUUAACCUGUUAGAUCAAUAAAAAUAUGAAUUCAAAUUCAUUAGAGCAUAUGAAUUUAAAUCCAAAUCCGUUAGUGUAAAUAUUAAGAAAGCGCGCCUUGGCAGCGCUUUGCAUAUAUAUAUAUAGAGAGAGAGAGAGAGAGAGAGUAGGGCUACUAUACUAUUAUGAGUAUAGAACCCUUAGUACUCAUAAGUUAUUUUCAAUGUUAGGAUUUUCGAAUCAACGAUCCACACUGUUAAUUAAACAUAAUCUAGAGUAUUUGAAACUUUUAGAAAAUAAAUUUCGUAAUUUUUCGAAAUUAUUAUAAAGUCCAUCAAGUGGGUAUAAAAUGAACGGUCAAAAUCAAAUGACAUUCUAAAAAUGGAUGAUCGGAUCUUUUAAUUUAAGAUCGGAGUUAUUGAUCUUUAUUUAGGUAGUGAAUAGAAUUUUUUAUAAAAAAGUUUAACCUAUUCCGAUUCUUUUACACCGUUAAACUAGCAAAUAUUCCAUACCGGCCGUUAAAAAUUGUCAAUUUUAUGAGCUUUUGAUCGUAGGGUAAAUGAUACCGAAAAUUAUAAAAUUUAAUUUCUAGAAGUUUUAAGUGCUCUAGAUAAUAUUUAACGGUAUGAAUCGUCGAUUCGAAAGCUCUAUCGUCGAAAACAACUUAUGAGUACGAAGUCGAUCGUACUCAUAAGAGUAUAAUAGCCGGACUCUAUCUAUAUAUAGAGAGAGAGUCCGGCCACUAUACUUUUAUGAAUAUAGAGCCUAUUGUACUCAUAAGUUUUUUACCGUUAAAUCUACCCUUUAAUCAUUUUUACCCGUUAAAUUAUAUUAUUCAACCAACCAUACACUCAACCCUAGGGGGGCCACUAUCAAACAUCUGAACGGUCGAAAACUUAUGAGUACAAAGGGCUCUAUAUUCAUAUGAGUAUAGUAGCCCCAGCCUAUAUAUAGAGUCCGGCUAUUAUAUUUUUAUAAGUAUAGAGCUUAUUGUACUCAUAAGUUUUUGACCGUUAGAUCUACUCUUUAAUCAUUUUCAUCCGUUAGAUUAUAUAUAUAUAUAUAUAUAUAUAUAUAUGAGCUAGGCUACUAUACUAUCUAUAGUACCGAGCUCCGGUACUAUAGUGUUGGUUUUCGAUCAUAGGGCGUUCAAAUCAACGAUCCA